GACAGAGGGUGCAAACGUUGUUCGGAUUUACUGGGCGUAAAGCGCGUGUAGGCGGCUUUGCAAGUCGGAUGUGAAAGCCCACGGCUCAACCGUGGAAGUGCAUCCGAAACUGCAUGGCUGGAGUCUCGGAGAGGAAGGUGGAAUGCUUGGUGUAGAGGUGAAAUUCGUAGAUAUCAAGCAGAACACCUGCGGCGAAGGCGGCCUUCUGGACGAUGACUGACGCUGAGACGCGAAAGCGUGGGGAGCAAACAGG
RNAcentral lists this ribosomal RNA (253 nucleotides) under uncultured bacterium. Its description in RNAcentral is "partial 16S ribosomal RNA". It matches the Rfam family "Bacterial small subunit ribosomal RNA", at positions 524 to 776 of the family's 1533-position model. The record is from RNAcentral. RNAcentral also lists the same sequence under 2 other names.